Molecule: ribosomal RNA, 253 nt
Filed under: uncultured bacterium
Lineage: Bacteria
Description: partial 16S ribosomal RNA
Rfam family: Bacterial small subunit ribosomal RNA
Source: RNAcentral
UACGUAGGGGGCUAGCGUUGUCCGGAAUCAUUGGGCGUAAAGAGCGUGUAGGCGGUUCGGUAAGUCUGCCGUGAAAACCCAGGGCUCAACCCUGGGCGUGCGGUGGAUACUGCCGGGCUAGAGGGUGGUAGAGGCGAGUGGAAUUCCCGGUGUAGCGGUGAAAUGCGCGGAUAUCGGGAGGAACACCAGUAGCGAAGGCAGCUCGCUGGGACGGUACUGACGCUGAGGCGCGAAAGCGUGGGGAGCAAACAGG